This 253-nucleotide ribosomal RNA is filed under the name uncultured bacterium. RNAcentral's name for it is "partial 16S ribosomal RNA". It matches the Rfam family "Bacterial small subunit ribosomal RNA", at positions 524 to 776 of the family's 1533-position model. The record is from RNAcentral.
GACGUAGGUGGCGAACGUUAUCCGGAAUUAUUGGGCGUAAAGAGCUCGUAGGCGGUUUGUCGCGUCUGCUGUGAAAACUCGGGGCUUAACUCCGGGCCUGCAGUGGGUACGGGCAGACUAGAGUGCGGUAGGGGAGACUGGAAUUCCUGGUGUAGCGGUGAAAUGCGCAGAUAUCAGGAGGAACACCGGUGGCGAAGGCGGGUCUCUGGGCCGUAACUGACGCUGAGGAGCGAAAGCGUGGGGAGCAAACAGG